Beta vulgaris subsp. vulgaris (sugar beet) is the source of this 284-nucleotide long non-coding RNA. RefSeq lists it as uncharacterized. Lineage: Eukaryota; Viridiplantae; Streptophyta; Magnoliopsida; Caryophyllales; Amaranthaceae. The record is from RefSeq and is a predicted model, not a curated record. The transcript has 2 exons.
AGUGUUGAUGAGUUUUAUGUGGAUUACGCAGAUGUUCCAGUUCCACUCUCUACUCAUUCAUCACGAAACUCAGUCAAGCCGAGGGUUCUGUCAUAGAAUGGCCUAAAGAGUUGAUAUUUUUGGUCUCAGAUAAUCAGGAACAUAUAUCUAAAGAAGGUGCGAAGAAGAAAAAGAAAACAGUUGCUAAUGAUCCUUGCACCGAUGAGUCUGCACAUAGGCACAUAGAUCCAUUGAUUAGCGUGUCACUUGAGGAUAUGUCUGAUGCGGUCAAGGAGAUGCAUCGU